CAGUCGACGCUUUUUCUUUCCCGGAGCUUGCUCCACCGAAAGAAAAGAGCGGCGAACGGGUGAGUAACACGUGGGUAACCUGCCCAUCAGAAGGGGAUAACACUUGGAAACAGGUGCUAAUACCGUAUAACACUAUUUUCCGCAUGGAAGAAAGUUGAAAGGCGCUUUUGCGUCACUGAUGGAUGGACCCGCGGUGCAUUAGCUAGUUGGUGAGGUAACGGCUCACCAAGGCAACGAUGCUUAGCCGACCUGAGAGGGUGAUCGGCCACACUGGGACUGAGACACGGCCCAGACUCCUACGGGAGGCAGCAGUAGGGAAUCUUCGGCAAUGGACGAAAGUCUGACCGAGCAACGCCGCGUGAGUGAAGAAGGUUUUCGGAUCGUAAAACUCUGUUGUUAGAGAAGAACAAGGAUGAGAGUAAAAUGUUCAUCCCUUGACGGUAUCUAACCAGAAAGCCACGGCUAACUACGUGCCAGCAGCCGCGGUAAUACGUAGGUGGCAAGCGUUGUCCGGAUUUAUUGGGCGUAAAGCGAGCGCAGGCGGUUUCUUAAGUCUGAUGUGAAAGCCCCCGGCUCAACCGGGGAGGGUCAUUGGAAACUGGGAGACUUGAGUGCAGAAGAGGAGAGUGGAAUUCCAUGUGUAGCGGUGAAAUGCGUAGAUAUAUGGAGGAACCCAGUGGCGAAGCGGCUCUCUGGUCUGUACUGACGCU
This 710-nucleotide ribosomal RNA is filed under the name uncultured bacterium. RNAcentral's name for it is "bacterial SSU rRNA". It matches the Rfam family "Bacterial small subunit ribosomal RNA", at positions 59 to 747 of the family's 1533-position model. The record is from RNAcentral.